AAACGACUCUCGGCAACGGAUAUCUCGGCUCACGCAUCGAUGAAGAACGUAGCAAAAUGCGAUACUUGGUGUGAAUUGCAGAAUCCCGUGAACCAUCGAGUUUUUGAACGCAAGUUGCGGCCGAAGCCUUUUGGUUGAGGGCACGUCUGCCUGGGCGUCACGC
Molecule: ribosomal RNA, 163 nt
Filed under: Verbesina alternifolia
Lineage: Eukaryota; Viridiplantae; Streptophyta; Magnoliopsida; Asterales; Asteraceae
Description: 5.8S ribosomal RNA
Rfam family: 5.8S ribosomal RNA
About the family: 5.8S ribosomal RNA (5.8S rRNA) is a component of the large subunit of the eukaryotic ribosome. It is transcribed by RNA polymerase I as part of the 45S precursor that also contains 18S and 28S rRNA.
Source: RNAcentral